This 118-nucleotide ribosomal RNA is filed under the name Nostoc sp. FACHB-110. The record is from RNAcentral. Lineage: Bacteria; Bacillati; Cyanobacteriota; Cyanophyceae; Nostocales; Nostocaceae.
CCUGGUGCCUAUGGCGCGGUGGAACCACACUGAUACCUUCCCGAACUCAGAGGUGAAACGCUGCUGCGGCUACGAUAGUUGGAGGGUCGCCUCCUGCCACAAUUGCUCGACGCCAGGU